Drosophila pseudoobscura is the source of this 804-nucleotide long non-coding RNA. RefSeq lists it as uncharacterized. The transcript is spliced from 2 exons. NCBI's taxonomy places the organism in Eukaryota, Metazoa, Arthropoda, Insecta, Diptera, Drosophilidae. The record is from RefSeq and is a predicted model, not a curated record.
CGCUGUUAUGCGGAAAACGUAAACAAUGAUUGUGACAAAAUUAACAAAAAACAAAAACAACAACAGAACAGCUCGGAAGGACAGCAGACCAAAAACUUAUUAAUAAAAUGGAUUUAGUGCCAGAAAACUCCUCCAGUGCAAACAAGAGAACAACAGCAGGCGGCAGGGUGAAAUGGAGUGCCGCGCUUGAGUGCCUGCUGGUUGACAUAUGGCAGGAGAAAAUUGAAGAUUUGCGCGGACCACGCAAAAAUUCACAUGUGUACAUGUACAUUACACACACUGUUUGGAGCUACACCGAAAAGCCUGCCAACUGUUCGGUACUCAGAGGACGAGCCCAAAGUGUAUAGCGCAAUGGCGAUGCGCUUUUCCAAAGGAAUUGCAGCUCGGCAGUUGGUGUCCUUCUUUCGCAGCACUUCAAGCCGAUUCACUAAAAUAUCAAAGCAGUGCCUCUCCAUUCGGAAACUCUCUUUGAAAAACGCCUCGUUGUUUUCUGGUACAUCUUUCUCCCAAAAUGUCCCGAACCGCUUCUAAAACCAUAAAAUAUGUCCUUGUACUUUAAACUUUGGUUGAAGUUAGUAGAAGUACUCACAUACGACCAUAACCUUCCUGGCUUUUGUGUUUUUAUGGCAGUGACCCAGUCAAGCAUCUCAUCUUCGUCAAAGUUAAAGUCCUCAUCGUCAUCAUCAUUAAGCAACAUUAUUAGUUGGUGCAAGAAAAUAUUUUGCUGUGCAACCACAGCCGAAAUAAUUGCUAUAUCUCUAUCAUCCAUUAUUAAGAAUUAAUAAAUCUUCCGCGCAAAUUUAA